CAGCAGCCGCGGUAAUACUAGCUCCAAUAGCGUAUAUUAAAGUUGUUGCUGUUAAAAAGCUCGUAGUUGGAUUUCUGCCGAGGACGACCGGUCCGCCCUCUGGGUGAGUAUCUGGCUCGGCCUGGGCAUCUUCUUGGAGAACGUAGCUGCACUUGACUGUGUGGUGCGGUACCCAGGACUUUUACUUUGAGGAAAUUAGAGUGUUUCAAGCAGGCACACGCCUUGAAUACAUUAGCAUGGAAUAAUAAGAUAGGACCUCGGUUCUAUUUUGUUGGUUUCUAGAGCUGAGGUAAUGAUUAAUAGGGAUAGUUGGGGGCAUUCGUAUUUAACUGUCAGAGGUGAAAUUCUUGGAUUUGUUAAAGACCGACUACUGCGAAAGCAUUUGCCAAGGAUGUUUUCAUUGAUCAAGAACGAAAGUUAGGGGAUCGAAGACUAUCAGAUACCGUCGUAGUCUUAACCAU
RNAcentral lists this ribosomal RNA (461 nucleotides) under diatom sp. SIC.4276. RNAcentral describes it as "SSU rRNA". It matches the Rfam family "Eukaryotic small subunit ribosomal RNA", at positions 568 to 1033 of the family's 1831-position model. Lineage: Eukaryota; Bacillariophyta. The record is from RNAcentral.